AAUCCUGACACAGGGAGGUAGUGACAAGAAAUAACAAUACAGGGCUACUUCUAGUCUUGUAAUUGGAAUGAGUACAACUUACAUCUCUUCACGAGGAUCAAUUGGAGGGCAAGUCUGGUGCCAGCAGCCGCGGUAAUUCCAGCUCCAAUAGCGUAUAUUAAAGUUGUUGCAGUUAAAAAGCUCGUAGUCGGAUUUCGGGUCGGGCCGAGCGGUCUGCCGAUGGGUAUGCACUGUUCGGCGCGGCCUUCUUUCCGGAGACCGCGGCUACUCUUAACUGAGCGGGCGUGGGAGACGGAUCGUUUACUUUGAAAAAAUCAGAGUGUUUCAAGCAGGCAGCUCGCUCUUGCAUGGAUUAGCAUGGGAUAAUGAAAUAGGACUCUGGUGCUAUUUUGUUGGUUUCGAACACCGGAGUAAUGAUUAACAGGGACAGUC
RNAcentral lists this ribosomal RNA (432 nucleotides) under Phaeocystis sp. JD-2012. RNAcentral describes it as "SSU rRNA". It matches the Rfam family "Eukaryotic small subunit ribosomal RNA", at positions 447 to 883 of the family's 1831-position model. Lineage: Eukaryota; Haptophyta; Phaeocystales; Phaeocystaceae. The record is from RNAcentral.